CCUACGGGGGGCAGCAGUGGGGAAUAUUGGACAAUGGGGGGAACCCUGAUCCAGCGACGCCGCGUGAGUGAAGAAGUAUUUCGGUAUGUAAAGCUCUAUCAGCCGGGAAGAAAGAAAUGACGGUACCUGACUAAGAAGCCUCGGCUAACUACGUGCCAGCAGCCGCGGUAAUACGUAGGGGGCAAGCGUUAUCCGGAUUUACUGGGUGUAAAGGGAGCGUAGACGGCGAUGCAAGUCUGAAGUGAAAGGCGGGGGCCCAACCCCCGGACUGCUUUGGAAACUGUAUGGCUGGAGUGCAGGGGAGGUAAGUGGAAUUCCUAGUGUAGCGGUGAAAUGCGUAGAUAUUAGGAGGAACCCCAGUGGCGAAGGCGGCUUACUGGACUGUAACUGACGUUGAGGCACGAAAGCGUGGGGAGCGAACAGGAUUAGAUACCCCUGUAGUC
RNAcentral lists this ribosomal RNA (443 nucleotides) under uncultured bacterium. Its description in RNAcentral is "partial 16S ribosomal RNA". It matches the Rfam family "Bacterial small subunit ribosomal RNA", at positions 338 to 795 of the family's 1533-position model. The record is from RNAcentral.